GACAGAGAGACAGAGAGACAGAGAGACAGAGAGACACAGAGACACAGAGACACAGAGACACAGAGACACAGAGACACAGAGACACAGAGACACAGAGACACAGAGACACAGAGACACAGAGACACAGAGACACAGAGACACAGAGACACAGACAGAGACACAGACAGAGACACAGAGACAGAGACACAGAGACAGAGACACAGAGACAGAGACAGAGACACAGAGACAGAGACACAGAGACAGAGACACAGAGACAGAGACACAGAGACAGAGACACAGAGACACAGACACAGACACAGACACAGACACAGACACAGACACAGACACAGACACAGACACAGACACAGACACAGACACAGACACAGACACAG
Molecule: non-coding RNA, 371 nt
Organism: Paramuricea clavata
Lineage: Eukaryota; Metazoa; Cnidaria; Anthozoa; Malacalcyonacea; Plexauridae
Source: the annotation of a GenBank genome assembly